RNAcentral lists this Y RNA (96 nucleotides) under Prolemur simus (greater bamboo lemur). RNAcentral describes it as "Y RNA (ENSPSMG00000025408.1)". It matches the Rfam family "Y RNA". From Rfam's summary of the family: Y RNAs are components of the Ro ribonucleoprotein particle (Ro RNP), in association with Ro60 and La proteins. The Y RNAs and Ro60 and La proteins are well conserved, but the function of the Ro RNP is not known. In humans the RNA component can be one of four small RNAs -- hY1, hY3, hY4 and hY5. The record is from RNAcentral. Lineage: Eukaryota; Metazoa; Chordata; Mammalia; Primates; Lemuridae.
GGCUGGUCCGAUGGUAGUGGGUUAUCAGAACUUAUUAACAUUAGUGUCACUGAAGUUGGUAUACAGCCCCUUACUGCUAAAUUUGACUGGCUUUAG